CAGUAGCUUUGAAGCUGCCUCACCUAGGAUGUGUAUUUGGGUGUGAAGGAGGGACUGGAGCUCUGAUCAGUGGAGGGAUUUUCAGGAGAGAACCUAGGGAGGUGCUGAAGAAGCUCCUGGGAUGCUUUAGUUGAGGCUGAAGGAGGUUUUUGUGGGGCAGCUCAGGAGGAGCUGGCCCAGGUGCAGUGGGGCUGUGCUGAAGCUGUGGAGAUGUCCUACAAGGCUUGGACCCUGAGUCUGCAAGAACUGGCAAAAAUGGGAGUGCCAGCACCUGGCUCAGCGGUUACAGAUGCCAUCCUCUGCUCUUCCAGAGACCCCAGGUGGCAUCUGUGUCCAGCUGCAUCAGCUGCUAUUUUUGUCUGAACAGAAUUAGCACAUAUCACAUACUUGAGCUGCCAGUUAAAGGAAAAGCCAAGGAAUGGUCAGGGGAACAAAACAAGUUAUCCCUCCUGGAGCUACAUCAGUAGCCCAACCGCAAGGCAAAAGCCAUUUUUAGUCCAUGGGAUCCCUCUUUUCACAUCACAUGGGUGACAGCUACAGAAGGUGUCCUCACUCCAUCCUAGGUGCGAGAGAUCCCGUGUAUAUUCCCUGGGAUUGAAAAGCUGACUCUACACAGUGAGAACAAAGCCAUAUGCUACAUGUCAUCAUUUAUAUCCUACACUUUCUAAAUCCCCCACCAAGAUUACAGUAUUUUUCUCACUUAUGAAUUUUAUGGAAGGAAAAUAAAAAGCCUAAUGGAAGAGAGAAUGAACUCCAUGUUUUCUGCUUCAGCAUCACCUGCUGGUUCCAAGGGGAUUUGCAAACCUAUGGAAGAGCUCAGGAGGUGCAGAGGAGCCCAUUUCAUGGGCUUGGGAGUUUUUAAUGGGUACUGCUCUGUAAUGGCUCACGACCUGAAGGCUUAAAUGAAGAAAACAAGGGCAAGGAGGAGGACAGUAAUAAGACAGGCUCAUUAAAUAACUUAAAUUUUACUGUCUUACUCUGAGAUUUGCAAUGAGGAUGCAGUAAAAGGCAUCCUUGGGAAAAAUUUAACAAGCAGCCUUGGUGACUGUGGCAUUGAACUGCUUCAGUAUCCAGUUUAAAGUCAGUAGAAGCAACUCCAAGUAUAUUGUCAAAUCUAAUUCAUCUUGUCUGAAAGACCAAAGUCAGCAGGAAAGCACAGAUCCAGACCUCCACAAGUGUAAUUGCCCCUGAGCUCCAGACACAAUAUUGAAGAUGCCAUUUCCCUGCUUUUUCCCUUUCCUCAGCCCACAUUGAGAUUUUCAUGAAACAAUUUGAUUGCAUGAGAUGACGCUUCAGCUUGUGGGGUGAUCUCAUAUGAGGGUAAGAUCGCAACUGAGCUUCCUAAUUUUGGGGCUUUAAAAAAAAAAAAAAAAAAAAGAAUUAAUUUCCAAAACAGCUUGAAGAUUUUUUUUUUUUGUUCUUGAGUCUGUCUUCUCACAUGGAUUGACCCUCAAUGCAGAGCAAGGACUUAGGCCAACCGCACCAAACCUCAGCCCUUGGGAACAACCUGCAGGAACAUCUUCCUAGAACAGCCAGUCUUGGGGAUACACUGAUAUAUGAAGAUGCGGUGAAAGCUCAGGCAGCGUGUGGUGGCUGUUUCAGAAUCGUGGGACACAGGCUGUCAGGGCAGGGAGGAGAAAUUGCUCCCAGGGUUGACCCUGCCCUGUGCAGCAUUUUUAUUAUGUUAGAACUAGGCAGCUUCAACCACACAUCAGCAGUGGUAGCUGGAAGCAUUCAACAUACAUAGUAAUAGUAAUAAUAAUAAUACAGAUAUGGCAAAGGUCUCCCGAAGUGCCUACAGAAAUGAAUUAAAUGAGAUCCCAGAGGAAUUAGAUGUUUUAAACUGUUUUUAAGUUCCUCAAGGCAGCUCUGUUGCUACUUUAUCAUUCCAAAAUGUGGAAGUUUGGUGCUCAGAUGUCUUGAUGAGACCUGGGUGGGGGGAAUAGGUUUCCUGUCCCACAGAGCAUGCCAAAAAAUUAGAAAACCUCCCUUACUUACUGGAUUGAAUCUAAGACACUACUUUAUAGUGGAAAAAAAAACCCAAACAACAAAUUAGUAAUAAGAUUUCACAAAAGCAUGUGAAAUGUCCCAGUUUCGUGUGUCACAGCUGUUCCACCCUUUGAUGUUGCUGAGAUCUGAGCAAUGUGAUAUCUGGGCAUAUCCGUGGUCUCAAAGCUUUAGCUCUUGUGGAUGCUAUUUGAAUUUCUCAGCAAACUGGGAUGGUUUCCAGGGCAAAAUCUGGUCCGGUUUGUAUUGGUGCUGGACUGUUUGGAACAGAGCAAACAAAAAUGCUUUGAGAGGAGGUGAUGUGAGCAAGAGAUGUGAUAAAUGGGGACUGGGGAUGCUCAUGGCUGGGAUGGUGCUGGCGAGCGGAUGGGUGGUAAAGCCAUGGAGGGGUGGGUGUCCUGUCACUGGUGGGACGUUCCUUUCAGAUGACAUUGCCCUCGAUUUGUAUGGCUCUCAUGGCUGCAGAUCUACUGGCAUGGCAGCACUUUGCAAGGCUCAGACAUUUUUACCUCUCCAGGAUGCUCCUUUACUCUCAUCUCCUGGUAUCUCUCCCCCUCCAUCCAUCUCAUAAAUGAGUUUGUAGAGUGUGCAGCACUGUCUGGGUUUCUGCAGGAGAAGCACGGUGUAAAAAGUCAAUCUUUAUUUGUGCGAUUAGUGUAGCUGGCAGGUCCUGCCUCCGGCACUGAGCUCACACUGCUCUGGGAGAUGGACUCAAGUAGAUGCUGCCUCAGCGAAGGUGAUGGAGGACGAAAGUCUGGAAAAAGCAGAAAAUAUGAAGCAAAAUGACCUUGAGGACAAUUUAGGGGAAGUAAUGAGAGGUUCAGAGGCUGGGACUGAGCUGGGGACAGGCCUGGCAGGAGUGCGAGAGAAAGGAUGAGGUGCCAAAGUGCAGCUAAACCCCACUUGGGGUGGCUUCCGAGACACGUGAUGGUCAGCAAACGAUCCAACCACUUCUGCAAUGGAUCGCUCUCUUGGAAGGUCUCAAUCUCUUCACCUCUUAAAUAACAGCCCCUAAAUUUGUUCCAUUUGCGUUUCUGAGAGCCCAGUAGUGAAAACUGCAGUAGGGUGUCUAUUUCUUAAAGAUCUUUCACACAAUUUUUCACAUUCAGAAGAGGAGAUUGUAGUAGGAUAUGUGUUUCUUAGGGACUUUUUGCACAGUUUUUCACAUCCUGAUGCCUGGCUUAAUCACACACACUCAGUCCCAGCAUCAAUGCUUUUG
Columba livia (rock pigeon) is the source of this 3226-nucleotide long non-coding RNA. RefSeq lists it as uncharacterized. The transcript has 3 exons. The record is from RefSeq and is a predicted model, not a curated record. Lineage: Eukaryota; Metazoa; Chordata; Aves; Columbiformes; Columbidae.